UAGGGAAUCUUCCGCAAUGGGCGAAAGCCUGACGGAGCAACGCCGCGUGAGUGAUGAAGGUCUUCGGAUCGUAAAACUCUGUUAUUAGGGAAGAACAAAUGUGUAAGUAACUAUGCACGUCUUGACGGUACCUAAUCAGAAAGCCACGGCUAACUACGUGCCAGCAGCCGCGGUAAUAUGUAGGUGGCAAGCGUUAUCCGGAAUUAUUGGGCGUAAAGCGCGCGUAGGCGGUUUUUUAAGUCUGAUGUGAAAGCCCACGGCUCAACCGUGGAGGGUCAUUGGAAACUGGAAAACUUGAGUGCAGAAGAGGAAAGUGGAAUUCCAUGUGUAGCGGUGAAAUGCGCAGAGAUAUGGAGGAACACCAGUGGCGAAGGCGACUUUCUGGUCUGGAACUGACGCUGAUGUGCGAAAGCGUGGGGAUCAAACAGG
RNAcentral lists this ribosomal RNA (429 nucleotides) under Actinomycetes bacterium. RNAcentral describes it as "Actinobacteria bacterium partial 16S ribosomal RNA". It matches the Rfam family "Bacterial small subunit ribosomal RNA", at positions 355 to 776 of the family's 1533-position model. Lineage: Bacteria; Bacillati; Actinomycetota; Actinomycetes. The record is from RNAcentral.